GUGCUCGCUUCGGCAGCACAUAUACUAAAAUUGGAAGGAUACAGAGAAGAUUAGCAUGGCCCCUGCACAAGGAUGACACGCAAAGCGUUCCAUAUUUUU
Mesocricetus auratus (golden hamster) is the source of this 99-nucleotide small nuclear RNA. The record is from Ensembl. Lineage: Eukaryota; Metazoa; Chordata; Mammalia; Rodentia; Cricetidae.